CACGUAGGGGGCAAGCGUUGUCCGGAUUUAUUGGGCGUAAAGAGCUCGUAGGCGGUUCGCUAAGUCGGGUGUGAAACCUCCAGGCUCAACCUGGAGACGCCACCUGAUACUGGUGUGACUCGAGUCCGGUAGGGGAGCGUGGAAUUCCUGGUGUAGCGGUGAAAUGCGCAGAUAUCAGGAGGAACACCAGCGGCGAAGGCGGCGCUCUGGGCCGGAACUGACGCUGAGGAGCGAAAGCUGGGGGAGCAAACGGG
Molecule: ribosomal RNA, 254 nt
Filed under: uncultured bacterium
Lineage: Bacteria
Description: partial 16S ribosomal RNA
Rfam family: Bacterial small subunit ribosomal RNA
Source: RNAcentral